RNAcentral lists this ribosomal RNA (424 nucleotides) under uncultured bacterium. RNAcentral's name for it is "bacterial SSU rRNA". It matches the Rfam family "Bacterial small subunit ribosomal RNA", at positions 355 to 796 of the family's 1533-position model. The record is from RNAcentral.
UGGGGAAUAUUGCACAAUGGGGGAAACCCUGAUGCAGCGACGCCGCGUGCGGGAUGACGGCCUUCGGGUUGUAAACCGCUUUCAGCAGGGACGAAUUUGACGGUACCUGCAGAAGAAGCGCCGGCUAACUACGUGCCAGCAGCCGCGGUAAUACGUAGGGCGCAAGCGUUGUCCGGAAUUAUUGGGCGUAAAGAGCUCGUAGGCGGCUUGUCGCGUCGGGUGUGAAAGCUUGGGGCUUAACCCCAAGUCUGCAUCCGAUACGGGCAGGCUAGAGGCAGGUAGGGGAGAACGGAAUUCCCGGUGUAGCGGUGAAAUGCGCAGAUAUCGGGAGGAACACCGGUGGCGAAGGCGGUUCUCUGGGCCUGUACUGACGCUGAGGAGCGAAAGCGUGGGGAGCGAACAGGAUUAGAUACCCCUGUAGUCC